This 445-nucleotide ribosomal RNA is filed under the name uncultured bacterium. Its description in RNAcentral is "SSU rRNA". It matches the Rfam family "Bacterial small subunit ribosomal RNA", at positions 26 to 518 of the family's 1533-position model. The record is from RNAcentral.
AGAGCGAACGCUGGCGGCAGGCCUAACACAUGCAAGUCGAGCGCCCGUAGCAAUACGGGAGCGGCAGACGGGGUAGUAACACGUGGGAACGCGCCCUUCGGUUCGGAAUAACUCAGGGAAACUUGAGCUAAUACCGGAUACGCCCUUACGGGGAAAGAUUUAUUGCCGAAGGAACGGCCCGCGUCCGAUUAGCUAGUUGGUGAGGUAAUGGCUCACCAAGGCGACGAUCGGUAGCUGGUCUGAGAGGAUGACCAGCAUCACUGGGACUGAGACACGGCCCAGACUCCUACGGGAGGCAGCAGUGGGGAAUAUUGGACAAUGGGCGCAAGCCUGAUCCAGCCAUGCCGCGUGGAUGAUGAAGGCCUUAGGGUUGUAAAGUCCUUUUAACGGGAAGAUAAUGACGGUACCGUAGAAUAAGCCCGGCUAACUUCGCGCCAGUAGCCGC